UACGGAGGAUGCAAGCGUUAUCCGGAUUUAUUGGGUUUAAAGGGUGCGCAGGUUGUUUGGUAAGUCAGUGGUGAAAAACUGCCGCUCAACGGUAGUCUUGCCAUUGAUACUGUCUUUCUUGAGUAUGGAUGAGGUAGGCGGAAUGUGCAGUGUAGCGGUGAAAUGCAUAGAUAUUGCACGGAACACCAAUUGCGAAGGCAGCUUACUGGACCAUUACUGACGCUCAGGCACGAAAGCGUGGGGAUCAAACAGGA
This 254-nucleotide ribosomal RNA is filed under the name uncultured prokaryote. Its description in RNAcentral is "partial 16S ribosomal RNA". It matches the Rfam family "Bacterial small subunit ribosomal RNA", at positions 524 to 777 of the family's 1533-position model. The record is from RNAcentral.